UACGGAGGGUGCAAGCAUUAAUCGGAUUUAUUGGGCGUAAAGGGCGCGUAGGCGGAUCUGCAAGUCAAGUGUGAAAUCCCGGGGCUCAACCUCGGAACAGCACCUGAAACUGCAGAACUAGAGGGUAGGAGGAGAGAAUGGAAUUCCACAAGUAGCGGUGAAAUGCGUAGAUAUGUGGAAGAACACCUGUGGCGAAAGCGGUUCUCUAUCUUACUCCUGACGCUGAGGCGCGAAAGCAAGGGGAGCAAACAGG
This 253-nucleotide ribosomal RNA is filed under the name uncultured bacterium. Its description in RNAcentral is "partial 16S ribosomal RNA". It matches the Rfam family "Bacterial small subunit ribosomal RNA", at positions 524 to 776 of the family's 1533-position model. The record is from RNAcentral.